This 86-nucleotide transfer RNA is filed under the name Candidatus Levybacteria bacterium RIFCSPHIGHO2_01_FULL_40_58. RNAcentral describes it as "tRNA-Leu". It matches the Rfam family "tRNA". From Rfam's summary of the family: Transfer RNA (tRNA) molecules are approximately 80 nucleotides in length. Their secondary structure includes four short double-helical elements and three loops (D, anti-codon, and T loops). RNAcentral also lists the same sequence under 4 other names. Lineage: Bacteria; Candidatus Levyibacteriota. The record is from RNAcentral.
GCCGCGGUGGUGGAAUGGUAGACACGAGGGCCUUAAGAGCCCUUGUCCGCAAGGGCGUGGGAGUUCGACUCUCCCCCGCGGCACAA